This 301-nucleotide ribosomal RNA is filed under the name uncultured bacterium. RNAcentral describes it as "partial 16S ribosomal RNA". It matches the Rfam family "Bacterial small subunit ribosomal RNA", at positions 509 to 807 of the family's 1533-position model. The record is from RNAcentral.
CAGUCGCCACGGUAAUACGGAGGGUCCGAGCGUUAAUCGGAAUUACUGGGCGUAAAGCGUGCGCAGGCGGUUUGUUAAGCGAGAUGUGAAAGCCCUGGGCUCAACCUAGGAAUAGCAUUUCGAACUGGCGAACUAGAGUCUUGUAGAGGGGGGUAGAAUUCCAGGUGUAGCGGUGAAAUGCGUAGAGAUCUGGAGGAAUACCGGUGGCGAAGGCGGCCCCCUGGACAAAGACUGACGCUCAUGCACGAAAGCGUGGGGAGCAAACAGGAUUAGAUACCCGCGUAGUCCCUGUCUCUUAUAC